RNAcentral lists this ribosomal RNA (838 nucleotides) under uncultured bacterium. RNAcentral describes it as "bacterial SSU rRNA". It matches the Rfam family "Bacterial small subunit ribosomal RNA", at positions 42 to 871 of the family's 1533-position model. The record is from RNAcentral.
ACGGGCUUAACACAUGCAAGUCGAGGGGAAACGACAUCGAAAGCUUGCUUUUGAUGGGCGUCGACCGGCGCACGGGUGAGUAACGCGUAUCCAACCUGCCCACCACUUGGGGAUAACCUUGCGAAAGUAAGACUAAUACCCAAUGACGUCUCUAGAGGACAUCUGAAAGGGAUUAAAGAUUUAUCGGUGAUGGAUGGGGAUGCGUCUGAUUAGCUUGUUGGCGGGGUAACGGCCCACCAAGGCGACGACCAGUAGGGGUUCUGAGAGGAAGGUCCCCCACAUUGGAACUGAGACACGGUCCAAACUCCUACGGGAGGCAGCAGUGAGGAAUAUUGGUCAAUGGACGAGAGUCUGAACCAGCCAAGUAGCGUGCAGGAUGACGGCCCUAUGGGUUGUAAACUGCUUUUAUAAGGGAAUAAAGUGAGUCUCGUGAGACUUUUUGCAUGUACCUUAUGAAUAAGGACCGGCUAAUUCCGUGCCAGCAGCCGCGGUAAUACGGAAGGUCCGGGCGUUAUCCGGAUUUAUUGGGUUUAAAGGGAGCGUAGGCCGGAGAUUAAGCGUGUUGUGAAAUGUAGAUGCUCAACAUCUGCACUGCAGCGCGAACUGGUUUCCUUGAGUACGCACAAAGUGGGCGGAAUUCGUGGUGUAGCGGUGAAAUGCUUAGAUAUCACGAAGAACUCCGAUUGCGAAGGCAGCUCACUGGAGCGCAACUGACGCUGAAGCUCGAAAGUGCGGGUAUCGAACAGGAUUAGAUACCCUGGUAGUCCACGCGGUAACCGAUGGAUGCUCGCUGUUUGCGUCUGACGUAAGCGGCCAAGCGAAAGCGUUAAGCAUCCCA